Ornithodoros turicata is the source of this 333-nucleotide long non-coding RNA. RefSeq lists it as uncharacterized. The transcript is spliced from 3 exons. The record is from RefSeq and is a predicted model, not a curated record. NCBI's taxonomy places the organism in Eukaryota, Metazoa, Arthropoda, Arachnida, Ixodida, Argasidae.
GGACAGACCAACGUUUUGUGGAUGGUAACUAUUACUGUCACAAGGGAUACCAUGCCAUCAACGUGCUUGGGGUGUCGGACGCUACUCGCCGCAUCCUUUACCUAAAUGCAUGCUACCCAGGGAGCUGCCACGAUUCAGCUAUAUGGAGUUUGUGUGACCUCCGUCGCCAGGCUCCUCAACUGUUUGCAGAUGGCGAAUGGCUUUUAGGUGACCUCGGCUAUCCUCUUGAGCCCUGGCUCAUGACCCCAGUUCGCAGCCCUGCAACGAGUAGCGAGGAAGCAUACAAUGAAGCCCAUCGUAAAACAAGGGUCCGAGUUGAGCAAACAUUUGGUG